GACGAACGCUGGCGGCGUGCCUAAUACAUGCAAGUUGAGCGCUGAAGGUUGGUACUUGUACCAACUGGAUGAGCAGCGAACGGGUGAGUAACGCGUGGGGAAUCUGCCUUUGAGCGGGGGACAACAUUUGGAAACGAAUGCUAAUACCGCAUAAAAACUUUAAACACAAGGUUUAAGUUUGAAAGAUGCAAUUGCAUCACUCAAAGAUGAUCCCGCGUUGUAUUAGCUAGUUGGUGAGGUAAAGGCUCACCAAGGCGAUGAUACAUAGCCGACCUGAGAGGGUGAUCGGCCACAUUGGGACUGAGACACGGCCCAAACUCCUACGGGAGGCAGCAGGAGGGAAUCGUCGGGAAUGGACGAAAGUCUGACCGAGCAACGCCGAGGGAGUGAAGAAGGUUGUCGGAUCGUAAAACUCUGUUGGUAGGGAGGAACGUUGGUGAGAGUGGAAAGCUCAUCAAGUGACGGUAACUACCCAGAAAGGGACGGCUAACUACGUG
This 497-nucleotide ribosomal RNA is filed under the name uncultured bacterium. Its description in RNAcentral is "partial 16S ribosomal RNA". It matches the Rfam family "Bacterial small subunit ribosomal RNA", at positions 28 to 507 of the family's 1533-position model. The record is from RNAcentral.